Fomitopsis serialis is the source of this 84-nucleotide non-coding RNA. NCBI's taxonomy places the organism in Eukaryota, Fungi, Basidiomycota, Agaricomycetes, Polyporales, Fomitopsidaceae. The record is from the annotation of a RefSeq genome assembly.
GGCCCUAUAGCUCAGUGGUUUAGAGCAUACGAUUGCAGUGGGGUAACUAUCGUGUGGUCCCGUGUUCGAAUCACGGUGGGGCCU